AGGACAAACGCUGGCGGCGUGCCUAAGACAUGCAAGUCGGACGGGAGGAUUCGUCCUCCAGUGGCGGACGGGUGAGGAGCGCGUGGAGAACCUGCCCUUGUGUGGGGGAUAACAGCCAGAAAUGGCUGCUAAUACCGCAUACGAUUACCGGGCGAUAGUUCGGUAAGGAAAGCCGCAAGGCGCACAUGGAGGGGUCCGCGUCGGAUUAGCUUGUUGGUGGGGUAACGGCCUACCAAGGCGACGAUCCGUAGC
Molecule: ribosomal RNA, 252 nt
Filed under: uncultured bacterium
Lineage: Bacteria
Description: partial small subunit ribosomal RNA
Rfam family: Bacterial small subunit ribosomal RNA
Source: RNAcentral